AGAAUUUAUAGAAACUAACCUUGAAUUCAAAAAGAAUUCACAAACUAACCAUGAGCUACAGUAUCAUGUCUGUAAUAUGUCGGAAUGGCUGUGUAAUUACGUAUAUGUCCUUUGUAACACGCUUUUUUUUCGAAUUACAUGUGAUAACAUAAUAUAUCUAUUUUUAUCAUGUAUUUUUCUCGUACUACAUGUUAUUUAUAAAGAACACAUAGUAUUUAUCGAAAAAAACAUUAUAUUCAAUGUAAUAU
RNAcentral lists this long non-coding RNA (248 nucleotides) under Arabidopsis lyrata. RNAcentral's name for it is "long non-coding RNA (ALYR_LNC002112)". Lineage: Eukaryota; Viridiplantae; Streptophyta; Magnoliopsida; Brassicales; Brassicaceae. The record is from RNAcentral.